This 1372-nucleotide ribosomal RNA is filed under the name uncultured bacterium. RNAcentral describes it as "bacterial SSU rRNA". It matches the Rfam family "Bacterial small subunit ribosomal RNA", at positions 28 to 1381 of the family's 1533-position model. The record is from RNAcentral.
GAUGAACGCUGGCGGCGUGCCUAAUACAUGCAAGUCGAGCGAACGGACGAGAAGCUUGCUUCUCUGAUGUUAGCGGCGGACGGGUGAGUAACACGUGGAUAACCUACCUAUAAGACUGGGAUAACUUCGGGAAACCGUAGCUAAUACCGGAUAAUAUUUUGAACCGCAUGGUUCAAAAGUGAAAGACGGUCUUGCUGUCACUUAUAGAUGGAUCCGCGCUGCAUUAGCUAGUUGGUAAGGUAACGGCUUACCAAGGCAACGAUGCAUAGCCGACCUGAGAGGGUGAUCGGCCACACUGGAACUGAGACACGGUCCAGACUCCUACGGGAGGCAGCAGUAGGGAAUCUUCCGCAAUGGGCGAAAGCCUGACGGAGCAACGCCGCGUGAGUGAUGAAGGUCUUCGGAUCGUAAAACUCUGUUAUUAGGGAAGAACAUAUGUGUAAGUAACUGUGCACAUCUUGACGGUACCUAAUCAGAAAGCCACGGCUAACUACGUGCCAGCAGCCGCGGUAAUACGUAGGUGGCAAGCGUUAUCCGGAAUUAUUGGGCGUAAAGCGCGCGUAGGCGGUUUUUUAAGUCUGAUGUGAAAGCCCACGGCUCAACCGUGGAGGGUCAUUGGAAACUGGAAAACUUGAGUGCAGAAGAGGAAAGUGGAAUUCCAUGUGUAGCGGUGAAAUGCGCAGAGAUAUGGAGGAACACCAGUGGCGAAGGCGACUUUCUGGUCUGUAACUGACGCUGAUGUGCGAAAGCGUGGGGAUCAAACAGGAUUAGAUACCCUGGUAGUCCACGCCGUAAACGAUGAGUGCUAAGUGUUAGGGGGUUUCCGCCCCUUAGUGCUGCAGCUAACGCAUUAAGCACUCCGCCUGGGGAGUACGACCGCAAGGUUGAAACUCAAAGGAAUUGACGGGGACCCGCACAAGCGGUGGGGCAUGUGGUUUAAUUCGAAGCAACGCGAAGAACCUUACCAAAUCUUGACAUCCUUUGACAACUCUAGAGAUAGAGCCUUCCCCUUCGGGGGACAAAGUGACAGGUGGUGCAUGGUUGUCGUCAGCUCGUGUCGUGAGAUGUUGGGUUAAGUCCCGCAACGAGCGCAACCCUUAAGCUUAGUUGCCAUCAUUAAGUUGGGCACUCUAAGUUGACUGCCGGUGACAAACCGGAGGAAGGUGGGGAUGACGUCAAAUCAUCAUGCCCCUUAUGAUUUGGGCUACACACGUGCUACAAUGGACAAUACAAAGGGCAGCGAAACCGCGAGGUCAAGCAAAUCCCAUAAAGUUGUUCUCAGUUCGGAUUGUAGUCUGCAACUCGACUACAUGAAGCUGGAAUCGCUAGUAAUCGUAGAUCAGCAUGCUACGGUGAAUACGUUCCCGGGUCU